UCUAGUGGUUUUAUAACAAAAACUACAUUAUUCAUUUUUUAACUCUUAUGCUCUGAUCGUUAAUAUUCAACUUUAAUCUCUCGAUGUAACAGCCUGUUAAAGAAGAAAUUUGUCGAUGGGAAGAUGGACUUGUCAUAAAAGGGGAGACAUGUCGAGUAGGUGCUACUUAGCCAGAUAAAUUCCAGAGAAAGGGCAAGAGCCGAGCGUGUGGUGGGAAAGGACCAGCAACAUGGAGAGGUGGAAUUGGACGCUUACUCAAACAUCCAGAGGUAGCCAACUUUUCCAAGACAUUUCUUGCAGACUCCAGUCUCACCUUCUGUGAUGUGUUCACCAUCGACAGUGGAACAAGGUUGGUCUAUUUUAGUAUCAUUCAUUUUCCUAGCUUAGUCUUAAACAGCUAAUGUACAUGCAUGUUUGGUAAAUUAAUUUGCUGCCACAUUAAAUAACAUCCAAUAUUUAGAAGCCAACAGCAUAUAGCUACUAAAGCCAUUUAUUUUAGCAUUGUCCACACGUUUAUGACAAUGAGGAUACAUUCAGGAUUGGUGUCUGACCAGGGUGUACUCUUCUUGUAAGCCCUGCUUUAUCACUCAACAUUUUUCUUUUAUGACUCUUAAUCAA
Labrus mixtus (cuckoo wrasse) is the source of this 618-nucleotide long non-coding RNA. RefSeq lists it as uncharacterized. Lineage: Eukaryota; Metazoa; Chordata; Actinopteri; Labriformes; Labridae. The transcript has 3 exons. The record is from RefSeq and is a predicted model, not a curated record.